UACGGAGGGUGCAAGCGUUACUCGGAAUCACUGGGCGUAAAGAGCGCGUAGGCGGGAUAGCAAGUCAGAUGUGAAAUCCUAUGGCUUAACCAUAGAACUGCAUCUAAAACUGGAUGGCUGGAGUGCAGGAGAGGUGAGCGGAAUUCCUAGUGUAGCGGUGGAAUGCGUAGAUAUUAGGAGGAACACCAGAGGCGAAGGCGGCUCACUGGACUGUAACUGACGCUGAGGCUCGAAAGCGUGGGGAGCAAACAGG
RNAcentral lists this ribosomal RNA (253 nucleotides) under uncultured Eubacteriales bacterium. RNAcentral's name for it is "uncultured Clostridiales bacterium partial 16S ribosomal RNA". It matches the Rfam family "Bacterial small subunit ribosomal RNA", at positions 524 to 776 of the family's 1533-position model. Lineage: Bacteria; Bacillati; Bacillota; Clostridia; Eubacteriales. The record is from RNAcentral.